UCUUAAUUCAACAUCGAGGUCGCAAACUUUUUCAUUGAUAAGAACUCUCCGAAAAAAUUACGCUGUUAUCCCUAAGGUAAGUUAAUCUUAUAAAUCCAAAAUUCAGGAUCAAAAAAACAUAAAUUAAUGAAAAAGUAAUUAAAAGUUAAAUCAAUUUUAAUGUCACCCCAACAAAACUAAACAUUCUAAAAAAAUAAUAAAAAAACAAAAAACAAAAUUUUAUAAAUUUAGUAAACUUCUAUAGGGUCUUCUCGUCCUAUAAAAAAAUUUUAGCUUUUUAACUAAAAAAUUAAAUUCAAUUAAAUUAUAAGAAGAAAGUCUAUUUUUCAUCAAACCAUUCAUACCAGCCUUCAAUUAAAAGACAAAUGAUUAUGCUACCUUCGUACAGUUAAAAUACCGCAGCCUUUUAAUAAUUAAAAUCAAUGGGCAGGCCCGAUCUUAAAUUUAAUACAAAAGACCAUGUUUUUGUUAAACAGGCG
RNAcentral lists this ribosomal RNA (479 nucleotides) under Brachymetra unca. RNAcentral describes it as "partial 16S ribosomal RNA". Lineage: Eukaryota; Metazoa; Arthropoda; Insecta; Hemiptera; Gerridae. The record is from RNAcentral.